RNAcentral lists this ribosomal RNA (473 nucleotides) under uncultured Syntrophus sp. RNAcentral's name for it is "bacterial SSU rRNA". It matches the Rfam family "Bacterial small subunit ribosomal RNA", at positions 910 to 1382 of the family's 1533-position model. Lineage: Bacteria; Pseudomonadati; Thermodesulfobacteriota; Syntrophia; Syntrophales; Syntrophaceae. The record is from RNAcentral.
UUGACGGGGCCCGCACAAGCGGUGGAGCAUGUGGUUUAAUUCGAUGCAACGCGAAGAACCUUACCUGGGCUUGACAUCCCGGGAAUCCUCUGGAAACAGGGGAGUGCCUCUCUGAGGAGCCCGGAGACAGGUGCUGCAUGGCUGUCGUCAGCUCGUGUCGUGAGAUGUUGGGUUAAGUCCCGCAACGAGCGCAACCCUUGUCUUUAAUUACCAUCAUUCAGUUGGGUACUUUAAAGAGACUGCCUGUGUUAAGCCGGAGGAAGGUGGGGAUGACGUCAAGUCCUCAUGGCCUUUAUGUCCAGGGCUACACACGUGCUACAAUGGCUGGUACAAAGGGUUGCCAACCCGCGAGGGGGAGCCAAUCCCAUAAAGCCAGUCGUAGUCCGGAUCGUAGUCUGCAACUCGACUACGUGAAGUCGGAAUCGCUAGUAAUCGUGGAUCAGAAUGUCACGGUGAAUACGUUCCCGGGUCUU